This 497-nucleotide ribosomal RNA is filed under the name uncultured bacterium. Its description in RNAcentral is "partial 16S ribosomal RNA". It matches the Rfam family "Bacterial small subunit ribosomal RNA", at positions 28 to 507 of the family's 1533-position model. The record is from RNAcentral.
GAUGAACGCUGGCGGCGUGCCUAAUACAUGCAAGUCGAGCGAACAGACGAGGAGCUUGCUCCUCUGACGUUAGCGGCGGACGGGUGAGUAACACGUGGAUAACCUACCUAUAAGACUGGGAUAACUUCGGGAAACCGGAGCUAAUACCGGAUAACAUGUUGAACCGCAUGGUUCAACAGUGAAAGACGGUCUUGCUGUCACUUAUCGAUGGAUCCGCGCCGCAUUAGCUAGUUGGUAAGGUAACGGCUUACCAAGGCAACGAUGCGUAGCCGACCUGAGAGGGUGAUCGGCCACACGGGAACUGAGACACGGUCCAGACUCCUACGGGAGGCAGCAGUAGGGAAUCUUCCGCAAUGGGCGAAAGCCUGACGGAGCAACGCCGCGUGAGUGAAGAAGGUCUUCGGAUCGUAAAACUCUGUUAUUAGGGAAGAACAAAUGUGUAAGUAACUAUGCACGUCUUGACGGUACCUAAUCAGAAAGCCACGGCUAACUACGUG